RNAcentral lists this ribosomal RNA (470 nucleotides) under uncultured Pseudomonadota bacterium. RNAcentral describes it as "bacterial SSU rRNA". It matches the Rfam family "Bacterial small subunit ribosomal RNA", at positions 8 to 522 of the family's 1533-position model. Lineage: Bacteria; Pseudomonadati; Pseudomonadota. The record is from RNAcentral.
AGAGUUUGAUCAUGGCUCAGAGCGAACGCUGGCGGCAGGCUUAACACAUGCAAGUCGAGCGGGCGUAGCAAUACGUCAGCGGCAGACGGGUGAGUAACGCGUGGGAACGUACCUUUUGGUUCGGAACAACACAGGGAAACUUGUGCUAAUACCGGAUAAGCCCUUACGGGGAAAGAUUUAUCGCCGAAAGAUCGGCCCGCGUCUGAUUAGCUAGUUGGUGAGGUAACGGCUCACCAAGGCGACGAUCAGUAGCUGGUCUGAGAGGAUGAUCAGCCACAUUGGGACUGAGACACGGCCCAAACUCCUACGGGAGGCAGCAGUGGGGAAUAUUGGACAAUGGGGGCAACCCUGAUCCAGCCAUGCCGCGUGAGUGAUGAAGGCCCUAGGGUUGUAAAGCUCUUUUGUGCGGGAAGAUAAUGACGGUACCGCAAGAAUAAGCCCCGGCUAACUUCGUGCCAGCAGCCGCGGUA